Molecule: transfer RNA, 67 nt
Filed under: Dolichovespula kuami
Lineage: Eukaryota; Metazoa; Arthropoda; Insecta; Hymenoptera; Vespidae
Description: tRNA-Val
Source: RNAcentral
AAAAUUUUAGUUUAUAAAAAAUUAUUUAUUUACAAUAAAUAGAAUAAUAGAGAUUAUUAAAAUUUUA